CCUACGGGGGGCAGCAGUGAGGAAUAUUGGUCAAUGGGCUUACGCCUGAACCAGCCAAGUCGCGUGAGGGAAGACUGCCCUAUGGGUUGUAAACCUCUUUAGGCGGGGAGCAAUGCCGGGCACGCGUGCCCGGCGGGAGAGUACCCGCAGAAUAAGCAUCGGCUAACUCCGUGCCAGCAGCCGCGGUAAUACGGAGGAUGCGAGCGUUCUCCGGAUUUAUUGGGUUUAAAGGGUGCGUAGGCGGAUUUUUAAGUCAGCGGUAAAAUGUCCGGGCUCAACCCGGGCCGGCCGUUGAAACUGGGGAUCUUGAGUGGGCGAGAAGUAGGCGGAAUGCGUGGUGUAGCGGUGAAAUGCAUAGAUAGCACGCAGAACUCCGAUUGCGAAGGCAGCAUACCGGCGCCCGACUGACGCUGAGGCACGAAAGCGUGGGGAUCGAACAGGAUUAGAUACCCUUGUAGUC
This 460-nucleotide ribosomal RNA is filed under the name uncultured bacterium. RNAcentral's name for it is "partial 16S ribosomal RNA". It matches the Rfam family "Bacterial small subunit ribosomal RNA", at positions 338 to 795 of the family's 1533-position model. The record is from RNAcentral.